This 635-nucleotide ribosomal RNA is filed under the name Salmonella enterica. RNAcentral describes it as "partial 23S ribosomal RNA". It matches the Rfam family "Bacterial large subunit ribosomal RNA", at positions 2190 to 2824 of the family's 2925-position model. The record is from RNAcentral. RNAcentral also lists the same sequence under 2 other names. Lineage: Bacteria; Pseudomonadati; Pseudomonadota; Gammaproteobacteria; Enterobacterales; Enterobacteriaceae.
CCUUGAAAUACCACCCUUUAAUGUUUGAUGUUCUAACGUGGACCCGUGAUCCGGGUUGCGGACAGUGUCUGGUGGGUAGUUUGACUGGGGCGGUCUCCUCCUAAAGAGUAACGGAGGAGCACGAAGGUUGGCUAAUCCUGGUCGGACAUCAGGAGGUUAGUGCAAUGGCAUAAGCCAGCUUGACUGCGAGCGUGACGGCGCGAGCAGGUGCGAAAGCAGGUCAUAGUGAUCCGGUGGUUCUGAAUGGAAGGGCCAUCGCUCAACGGAUAAAAGGUACUCCGGGGAUAACAGGCUGAUACCGCCCAAGAGUUCAUAUCGACGGCGGUGUUUGGCACCUCGAUGUCGGCUCAUCACAUCCUGGGGCUGAAGUAGGUCCCAAGGGUAUGGCUGUUCGCCAUUUAAAGUGGUACGCGAGCUGGGUUUAGAACGUCGUGAGACAGUUCGGUCCCUAUCUGCCGUGGGCGCUGGAGAACUGAGGGGGGCUGCUCCUAGUACGAGAGGACCGGAGUGGACGCAUCACUGGUGUUCGGGUUGUCAUGCCAAUGGCACUGCCCGGUAGCUAAAUGCGGAAGAGAUAAGUGCUGAAAGCAUCUAAGCACGAAACUUGCCCCGAGAUGAGUUCUCCCUGAGACUUA